RNAcentral lists this long non-coding RNA (4477 nucleotides) under Solanum lycopersicum (tomato). RNAcentral describes it as "long non-coding RNA (SLYC_LNC000207)". The record is from RNAcentral. Lineage: Eukaryota; Viridiplantae; Streptophyta; Magnoliopsida; Solanales; Solanaceae.
GCAAAUAGACCCGGCCAUCCCAAUCUUAUAACCCAUGACCCCACCCUUACGUCCUCGUCUUCUUCUACACGUGAACCUAAACGCGAAGAAAUUUCAGCAAACAGGGAAAUAGCAACUCGAGUGCAGUUUCAAUCGCGCGCAUCUGUCCCUCCCCCCCCUCUCAUCCUUAUCCUUGUCGUACGGUAUAAUCCAGAUGUUGCAGUCUCGUGGUUUGCUCAUCCUUGCAAAGAAUUAUGACGAUCCUCCUCAGCAGCCCGUUGCAGAUUGAUGAAUUUCGUACUAUUGACAGCUAUUCAAUAUUAUCUCUUAAGAAAAUGGGAAUUUUGAUUUUAAAAUUUGACCCUUUUUCCUCCCCCUCAAAUCCGAACCUCAAUCCCUUGGUAUAAAUAAUCCUUUUCUUUUGUGUUAGGGGGAAUUUUUGGGGGUGUUUGAUAGAUUAUGUAUAAAAAAUAUAUAUAGAGGAAGAAAUUUUAGAGUAAACAAAGAAGGUUUGGUCUUCACUUAUACAAAUUUUGGAAGAAGCAUAGUUUAGAGAAAAACAAAAAAAAUUUAUAAGGUUGCAGACAAAAAGUUAAUAUUUGAACAAGGAGCAUUCUCAAAUAGUAUCCUAAAGAACUUAAUUCUCUUUCCGUUUCUUUUCUUCUUUCACGCAUAGAUCGCCGGAGUUCACAGAAUCUCAUGAGGAUGUGGUGAAGUUGUUGCUAUGUUUCGUCUUGUCCCAGAAGCUGCCUAUAAGAAGGUAAAACUCCUCUCUCGAUAGCAUUCACAUAAUCUUUUUUUUGGAGUUGAUAUUUUUGAUAUUGGAAAUGUGUAUCAAUGGUUGUUUGUUGCUACUCUAGUUGGUUGGUAAUGUUAGUAAAAAUACAUACAUUCUCGGCUAACUUCCUGGUUUAAUAUUACUGUGAACUAAAAUUAUUGCCACCUUGCGGAUGAUAUUGUUGCUUUUACAUUCUUUUAUGUGAAUUUGUUACAUCAGUUGCUUCUCGUUUGUUUGUCUGCGUAUCUAAAUGAGGUUAUGCAUCUUCCUGUUUUUGAAGGUGAUGGUAUUUUCAACUUUGUGCUCUUAUAAUAGCAUGCGUACAGUGCCUAUAUAUAUCUCGUUAAGAUAGGAAAUCAUAUCAUUUCUAUUCCGUUUGAGUCUAGUGGCUUUUUUCUUUUGUUCGUUUUGUAUGUCUUCACUUGUAUUUGUUUUGUUUUUUUCUAAAAAAAUGUAAAAAGACCCUUCAUCGAAGUUGACCAAACUCUUUAGUUAAUUGUAAUUUUUUUAAAUAUGCUUAGUUUUAAUUUUUGGAGCUGACCUCACUGACCAUCGUGGCCACUUAGCAUGACUGUGUUAAGUUGUCAAAUUGCUUAGUAUGUUAUGGGUACAUAUGUCAAGAGUUAGAUGAUGUAGAGUCGAUUUUAACUUUAAGUAUGGAUAUUGUUUUAGUUUCACAGCAGGUUUAGCCAAAAGGUUCUCAAAUUCUUAUAUUUUUAUUGGCUUGAAAACUAUUUCCAAAUCAGUUAACUAUUAGGUGCCUUGUUAUUUUGCUCUCUAAGCUAUAGUUUGAAUAAUGUGUGAUGCGAUUAAUAAUGUGAAAAAUCUUUUGUACAUAGUAAUAUAUAUGUUUUUUACUUUGUGAUAGUACGACGUCACUUGUUUGAUUAUCUAAUCCCAUCUAAGUUUCGUCUAAUGCUUGGAAUACGUGAGUCUUGUUCAUUGUCCUACUUACAGAAAUAUUAGUUGUUUUAAUUAAUUAGGCCUGAUAAAAGUUGUUGCUUGGGAUCUUCCACUCAAAUUCCUUAAUCCAUCAAUUUAUUUUCUUUAGUCUAAGACGUCACAUUUUAACUUCCUUUGAUGCGUUAGUCAUUUUGUGAUUGAUUAAUUGUUAUCAAAUUGUGGUUUUGAGAUGCUAUAUAUAUCGAAUACUAAUUCUCACUAUCAUUGUUUGCAUGUGAUUUAUUCUGAGUUUGUCUUGAACUCCUUCCUGUCUCGGAUUUUGGAAGAGACAUAAAGGCUUAAAUAUUCAUUUUCUUGGGUUUACAAUUCCCCCUUUUUCCUACUAAGACUUACGAACAGAUUUUGGAACCAAAAUUUGAAGAGGAGACAUUGAAGAGUUCAUGUUUUGUGACUAAAAGCCGAUAUUUUGUAUUUAUUUUAUAUCAUCUUUUUUUUAGGCCUAAGGUCUUUCUAAGUUUAAUUAUUUUAUUUGAUUAGUCUAGGACAGAUACAAAAGAAAAAGGUCAAGGUCCCUAAAAUGCCAAACGGGUCCAAAUAUUUGUCCAGGCAGACAGAUAACCAAGAUUGGGGCCCAACUCUCUGUCUCUCUCUGUCUCUCUUACUUUUGUUUAUUUAUUAGUUUUUAUAUGUCGCUAGUUUAAUGUUCGAAAACUCCAAAUUCCCCGCGAACGCUUUAAAUAUUAUAUCGACUUAAAAUCAAUAAAUUUUGCACAUAAAUCACUUAGAUAAUAAGUAAGUAGUUUAACUCUUUACCAUUCCGAACUUUUUUUCAAGUUAAAUAGAAGUCUAGCAAAACUAAGUUAGUUGUCUGAUAACCACAUUAAUAGAUAUUUAGGAUCCUAGUACCUACCUAAAAUAUAAAUAGGAAUAUCCGAACGCUUUAAAUGUUUUCAAAAUGAUUUUAUCUAUUAAUUCUUUUGGAAACGCUAGUUUUCUUGUUUCUUCUUCAAAAUUAAGUGGCGACUCAAAAAGUUAAAAAUUCUUCAAAAUAAAUAUUUUUCCUUUAACUAAUAAUCUACCUAUUAAGGUACGUGAGAUUAUUUGUUAUUGAGUACUUUAACCCACACCCCAAUUUGGUUCAAUAUAAAAAAUUAGAGUUUAUUCGAAUGAAAAUCUUGAAGUCAUUGAUGAAAAGUGUGAAGUUCUUGUUGGUUGAAUUGUAGUUGAUCUCUAGUAGUUUAUUCAUGUUUCCGGACUAUUUUCGGGUCUAAUCUAUUGGUUAAGGAGGUAUUUAGGGAUCCUAAGUGUUUGUCUUAGGGUGGGAUCCAUGGAUGUUUAGGAGGUUUAAACAUGAAAAAUGGAGAAGAAAAAUCCAAAACGUCCCGGUAGAUAACUGUUAGGGCACUGCGCCUGCCAAAGAGCCUAAGGGAAGCCUCUUCUGAAAAACCCUGGCGCGCCGCACUUCUUUGAGCGCCCAAUAUCAGGGUCUUUCCAAUAGUCCCUGGCGCCCUGCGCCUCUCACAACGCCAAUACCCCCUGGAGACCCCGUUCUUUCCCUAUCUUUCAACACUAGUUCCUAAGUUAUGUACCUAUCAUUUCUUCUUGAUUUCAACAGUCUAAAUUACAUCUAAACAUCAUGAAAUAAUCUCUAAACAUGAGAUCAUGAUCGUUGAAUCCAUAAUUCAGUUCAAGGGAAGCUAAUAAAAAAGUCAAAGAAGUUAAGAGUCAAGUUUAAAAGUUAAGAAGUACGUAAAAAUGAGUUCUUAAAGUUUUCAAAGAGUCUUAAACAAUCUUUUUAACUUUUAUUUAAGGCUCAAGUUACAAGUUGAGCAAAGUGAAAAUAGUUGAUUUAAAUUCUCAAAAAUUAUAAGGGAACUAAUUAUUUCCUAAUAGGUAAAGUUCGAGGUUAAGUACAGAGCAAGAGUUGAGUUGAUUUCUCUAAUUUAUAUGGGGGACUAAGUAUUCCCUAAAGGUUGAUAAAUGUUUCAUAUAUAAGUUGAAAGGGAACUAAGAAGUUCUAAAAGUGUUUUGAACUAAAAAUGGCAACAUUGAUUCCAAAAGGAACUUUUUAAAGCUAAAGGGUUCAGUAAAUUAUCUAAGGAAAUUUUACUAAAAGUAUGAUAUAAAGAAAGUUUUGGGAGUAGUAAUUAGCACCGAUGAGGGUAUGAGAGUUUAGAUAACUCAAGUCCCCAUGUAAGCCAUGUAGCCAUCAUGGGUAUUAACGUGUCAUACAUUUUAGAUGAUAACAUGAGUUUAACUAGUGGAUCAACUAGGUUAAUGAUGUUCUGUACGAUGGAAAAGUAUAGGAAAGUUUAAGCAGCGUGGACGAGAUGUUGUAUCACCACUUAGGCCCAUAGUUGUGGUUGUCGAUUAGAGAAACUUCCAUAGAAACUAUAUUACUUACAUAUAUAAGCCAAGUUGAGUUUAUUAUUAUUUUAUAUUUAGUGAACUAAGAGUUUAUAUUGCUUUACUAGUUAUAUAUAUAUAUUGGGUAUGUUCUUAUUGCUUUAUAUUGAGUUGUUAUCUUAUGUGUUGAGAAGAGACAAUGCAAGUUCAUCCUUACUUAAUUUCAAGAUUUAUUGUUGUGUUUAACAUUUCAACUUGCAUACUCGUACACUCAAUGUACUUAUAUCAGUUUGCAUGCAUCAUUUUAUGAUGCAGAGGCAGGUAACUAGGAUUAGCACGCAACUCAUCGAGCUCCGGAGUAAGUGGUGAUCCUCCUUGCAUUCCGUAGGACAUCCUCUUCAUUUGCUAUAUUAGUUUAGUUGUUUUAGGAUGUUAUGGAGUCUUUCCCAACAUUCAUCUCAGUAAGUUUAG